GGAGUUAGCCGGUGCUUCUUCUGCGAGUAACGUCACAGAUGUAAGGUAUUAACUUACACCCUUUCCUCCUCGCUGAAAGUGCUUUACAACCCGAAGGCCUUCUUCACACACGCGGCAUGGCUGCAUCAGGGUUUCCCCCAUUGUGCAAUAUUCCCCACUGCUGCCUCCCGUAGGAGUCUGGGCCGUGUCUCAGUCCCAGUGUGGCUGAUCAUCCUCUCAGACCAGCUAGGGAUCGUCGCCUAGGUGAGCCUUUACCUCACCUACUAGCUAAUCCCACCUGGGCUUAUCCAUCAGCGCAAGGCCCGAAGGUCCCCUGCUUUCCCCCGUAGGGCGUAUGCGGUAUUAGCAGUCGUUUCCAACUGUUAUCCCCCACAAAUGGGCAAAUUCCCAGGCAUUACUCACCCGUCCGCCGCUCGUCAUCUCAAGACAGCUUUAGUAAUAGUUACCGCUCGACUUGCAUGUGUUAGGUCCGUCGCCGCCACGCGUUACAAUCUGAGCCAUAAUACAACUACUGA
This 515-nucleotide ribosomal RNA is filed under the name uncultured bacterium. RNAcentral describes it as "partial 16S ribosomal RNA". The record is from RNAcentral.